Molecule: ribosomal RNA, 292 nt
Filed under: uncultured bacterium
Lineage: Bacteria
Description: partial 16S ribosomal RNA
Rfam family: Bacterial small subunit ribosomal RNA
Source: RNAcentral
GUGCCAGCAGCCGCGGUAAAACGUAGGUGGCGAGCGUUAUCCGGAUUUACUGGGCGUAAAGCGUGUGCAGGCGGGUGAACAAGUGGUGUAUGAAAUCGCUCGGCUAAACCGGGCGGGGUUAUGCCAGACUGUUCAUCUGGAGUGCGAGAGAGGGGCGUGGAAUUCCGGGUGUAGUGGUGAAAUGCGUAGAGAUCCGGAGGAACCCCAGAGGCGAAGGCGGCGCCCUGGCUCGCAACUGACGCUCAGACACGACAGCAUGGGGAGCGAACGGGAUUAGAAACCCCGGUAGUCC